This 1723-nucleotide long non-coding RNA is filed under the name Diabrotica virgifera virgifera (western corn rootworm). RNAcentral's name for it is "uncharacterized LOC126883149". Lineage: Eukaryota; Metazoa; Arthropoda; Insecta; Coleoptera; Chrysomelidae. The record is from RNAcentral.
UGAAUUUAUGUAAUUUAUUUAAGCCAAAAUACAUUGUACGGCUGUCAGUAAAUAGAAAAAAAUGUUUAUUUCACAAAUAAACAUUUCUUUUCGCUUAAAUUAAAUCACAAACAGCCUCCCACAUACCUCUUGGCAGUUUGAACAUUUAAUUUAAGCGAAAAGCAAUGUUUAUUUGCCAAAUAAACAUGUAUUUUGAGUUAAAUAAAUUGCAUACAUUCUUCUUUUUUCGUCAAUUAAUUUAAUACAAAAAUUAUUAUUUUGGCCACCCUGUAUAAAUAAUGAUAUUCAUGUUUAUAUUACUGUAUAGAGAAUUGAACACCCUUUCAAAUGAGGUGCCACACGACCCCUAUUCCCAUUUAAAAAAAUCAUCGAUUCCGUCACCACGCUCAGAUGGAUGACGUCACUAGUAUGAAAUAUAUGGCAAAAAAUUGUAAUUUGAAAAUAAAAAUCGACCUAUUUCGGGAUUUUUCUCUAAAGUCGUCCAUUUUAGAGAAAAUGAAUUUAUUCCAUAAUUUAGAUCCUCUUCUGUAUGUGCACUUAUAUUUUAUACCUCUAUUUCUAAUGUAAUUAUCGAGUUUGAAAAAAUACAUUUGAUUCACUUUUAGGAAGAAGAUAUUAAAAAAGGCAAGUGUUAGGAUGUAGUAAUUCAAUGGAUUAUUCAAUAAAUAUGAAAAUAUGGACAUUAUAGACAAAAUAUUGAAUAAUUUUUAGAACGUGUAAUGACAUGUUUUUAAAUCUGCCGCGUUUAGGAUUCCGAUCCUGAUUAAACAUUUGGCAACAUCGCGGAAUGGGUUGUAAGAUCUAUCCCUACCACGUCUCACCCAUAGAGGUAUAUAUUGACAUAGAGAGAGUAUCAUUCGGAGCGAAGUGACGACACCAUCUUUUUUCUUUGGAUUAGUGCUACUUCACUCUUACACAUAGUAAAGCUGCGACAGUAUGAUAAACGUCAUUUUUAAGUUAGGAGAAGUAUGAAGUUAGCUGAUGUCUUUCCUGUUAUUUUUAUUUUAGUCACUGUUUACAUUUAUUUGUAAUUUGUAGAUGUUUUUAGACAAAUAUUCUGUUUGGUUUUGUUUUUGAUUGUUAAUUGUGCAGCGAAAUUGUGAUAGUAAAUUAAAUAUAAAGUUGUUUAUCGCCUACAGAACUGAAUUAUCCCAUAGUAAUUAUCAGUUUGUGUCAAUUUGUUUAAAAAAGAAAAAACACCUUUCCUUGUGUUUGACAGACUUGUAGCAAGGGCUUUCUUGUGGAUCCUGUAAAUUGCGGGAAUAGGACAGACAGGGAUAAAAUCCUCACUUUUUACUAUUCCCAAGGCUAUACAUUUCCCCCAUGCAAUACAUUUAAAUGAAUUUUAUCCAAACAAAGGCAGGAACAUUAGAUAAAAGCAAUAAGGAGAACAGACCUCAAAUUAAAAUAUGAGAGUAUACAGUAAACAUUUUAUAAGUGGAAUAAACACCAGCUAUUUUAAAUGUAGGAAAAGGAGAAACUGCUGGAACCUAACUUUACACAAAUGUUUUUGACUAUUGAAGAUUUGGAUAAACAACAGAAGUUACUUUGGGCUAUAGCUAUGUGCAGAUUUAUUUCAUUGUGGAUUACUAUGUUUAUUCUUUUUAACUAUACUUCCUACGUUGUUUGUGAGAUUAAUAUUAUUAUUUAAUUGAUUAUAUUAAUAUUUUGUAAUAAUAAUCAAUGCUUUGGUUUAACAAAUAGACAACUUAAAAUAGAAAAA